Myotis davidii is the source of this 756-nucleotide long non-coding RNA. RefSeq lists it as uncharacterized. The transcript has 2 exons. NCBI's taxonomy places the organism in Eukaryota, Metazoa, Chordata, Mammalia, Chiroptera, Vespertilionidae. The record is from RefSeq and is a predicted model, not a curated record.
CUCCAGUCCUUGCCCUGCUGCAGCCGCCAGCGCUCCUGCGAGCACCCCCCUCCGUGUCCUUAGGCUGCCGGACUCAGUAAACAGACAGAGCGACAGAAAUAAAAACGCAGGAAUUGGUCAGAGAGGUUCAUGACCACGUUCAGAGCAACGCAUCUGUGAUCUAUAAGCACACACCGAAUCAGGAGGAUUCUGGGAGUUGCCCACCAGAAAAAGAUUUGUAAGAAAUGCUCUCCACUUGCCAGCAGAGAAGGCAGCCAUCCUUACCUCAUGACGGCGGUGUCCCUGGGAUUCUGAGAAGCUGGGGUCCAGGCUGAUGUUCUGUUCUGCUGGUGGAUCGCAAGCGAGUGCCGAUGAGGUUUCCAAGCCCUGGCGCUGGCCCUUCGGUCUGUGCUUUUAUGGAGAAGAAAUGGAAACUGAAACUGAUGCGAUGCCGUCAGGAUUCCUGGUGAGGAGAAACGAAACUAAGCUCCUGAGCCUUAAGAUGGAAUGGCCCUCUGGCUCCUUUCCCAGGAGACCAGACCGAGGGAUGCCAGCAAGAAUCUCAGAGCAAGACCUGAAGAAAUGACUCACUGCCCUGACUUCACCUCCGACCAAGGAGCUCUCAUCAUGAGCCCCCUAAUCCGUAGUGUCUUGUGAUUUUGCCCUGUAUAAUCUGUAACCUACACACCAUCAGGGUGUUAGGGCUUUUGCUCAAAAGCUUCCUGUUCUCCUAGGUGGCACCAUUCAUCAUAAAAUAGCCAGUAUUUCUCCCCUGCA